AUACGGAGGACGCGAGCGUUAUCCGGAUUUAUUGGGUUUAAAGGGUGCGUAGGCGGUUUGCUAAGCGGGAGGUGAAAUGCCGGCGCUCAACGUCGGAAGUGCCUCCCGAACUGGUGGACUUGAAUGACUCUGCCGUGGGAGGAAUGUGUAGUGUAGCGGUGAAAUGCUUAGAGAUUACACAGAACACCGAUUGCGAAGGCAUCUCACGAAGGGUUGAUUGACGCUGAGGCACGAAAGCGUGGGGAUCAAACAGGAUUAGAUACCCUGGUAGUCCACGCAGUAAACGAUGAUGGCUAACCGCUGGGCUUAUCAGUUCAGUGGCCAAGCGAAAGCGAUAAGCCAUCCACCUGGGGAGUACGACCGCAAGGUUGAAACUCAAAUGAAUUGACGGGG
RNAcentral lists this ribosomal RNA (393 nucleotides) under uncultured bacterium. RNAcentral describes it as "partial 16S ribosomal RNA". It matches the Rfam family "Bacterial small subunit ribosomal RNA", at positions 523 to 918 of the family's 1533-position model. The record is from RNAcentral.